GUGCCAGCCGCCGCGGUAAUACGGAAGGUCCGGGCGUUAUCCGGAUUUAUUGGGUUUAAAGGGAGCGCAGGCUGACUGUUAAGCGUGCCGUGAAAUGUACCGGCUCAACCGGUGACUUGCGGCGCGAACUGGUGGUCUUGAGUGCGUACGAGGAUGGCGGAAUUCGUGGUGUAGCGGUGAAAUGCUUAGAUAUCACGAAGAACUCCGAUUGCGAAGGCAGCUGUCCAGUCCGUAACUGACGCUAAUGCUCGAAGGUGCGGGUAUCGAACAGGAUUAGAUACCCUGGUAGUCCGCACGGUAAACGAUGGAUGCCCGCUGUCGGCGAUAUAAUGUCGGUGGCUAAGCGAAAGCGUUAAAGCAUCCCACCUGGGGAGUACGCCGGCAACGGUGAAACUCAAAGGAAUUGACGGGGGCCCGCACAAGCGGAGGAACAUGUGGUUUAAUUCGAUGAUACGGCGAGGAACCUUACCCGGGCUUGAACUGCAGGAGAACGAUACAGAGAUGUUGAGGCCCUUCGGGGCUCCUGUGGAGGUGCUGCAUGGUUGUCGUCAGCUCGUGCCGUGAGGUGUCGGCUUAAGUGCCAUAACGAGCGCAACCCUUGCGGGUAGUUGCCAUCAGGUUAAGCUGGGCACUCUGCCCGGACUGCCACCGUAAGGUGUGAGGAAGGUGGGGAUGACGUCAAAUCAGCACGGCCCUUACGUCCGGGGCUACACACGUGUUACAAUGGGUGGUACAGAGAGUCGGCCGGCUGCAAAUCCGGUCUAAUCAAAAAAGCCAUCCUCAGUUCGGAUUGGGGUCUGCAACCCGACCCCAUGAAGCUGGAUUCGCUAGUAAUCGCGCAUCAGCCAUGGCGCGGUGAAUACGUUCCCGGGCCUUGUACACACCGCCCGU
Molecule: ribosomal RNA, 891 nt
Filed under: uncultured bacterium
Lineage: Bacteria
Description: bacterial SSU rRNA
Rfam family: Bacterial small subunit ribosomal RNA
Source: RNAcentral